Juglans microcarpa x Juglans regia is the source of this 167-nucleotide long non-coding RNA. RefSeq lists it as uncharacterized. The record is from RefSeq and is a predicted model, not a curated record. Lineage: Eukaryota; Viridiplantae; Streptophyta; Magnoliopsida; Fagales; Juglandaceae. The transcript is spliced from 2 exons.
GCCCAAUAACAGAUAACCUAACUAAUAAUAGUUGAAUAAUGAAACCAAACACAACCAAGUAAUGAUCUUUAAGAAAGCAGCCACACAGUCUCUGUAGUUUGUGUUAUCUAUGGUACCUAGACAAAUUUAGCACAAAAAAUACAUGUUUUUAUAUCAGUUAUAGCACA